This 253-nucleotide ribosomal RNA is filed under the name Anaerobutyricum hallii. RNAcentral's name for it is "partial 16S ribosomal RNA". It matches the Rfam family "Bacterial small subunit ribosomal RNA", at positions 524 to 776 of the family's 1533-position model. Lineage: Bacteria; Bacillati; Bacillota; Clostridia; Lachnospirales; Lachnospiraceae. The record is from RNAcentral.
UACGUAUGGAGCAAGCGUUAUCCGGAUUUACUGGGUGUAAAGGGUGCGUAGGUGGCAGUGCAAGUCAGAUGUGAAAGGCUGGGGCUCAACCCCGGAGCUGCAUUUGAAACUGCAUAGCUAGAGUACAGGAGAGGCAGGCGGAAUUCCUAGUGUAGCGGUGAAAUGCGUAGAUAUUAGGAGGAACACCAGUGGCGAAGGCGGCCUGCUGGACUGUUACUGACACUGAGGCACGAAAGCGUGGGGAGCAAACAGG